Molecule: non-coding RNA, 523 nt
Filed under: Brassica napus (rape)
Lineage: Eukaryota; Viridiplantae; Streptophyta; Magnoliopsida; Brassicales; Brassicaceae
Description: Eukaryotic small subunit ribosomal RNA
Rfam family: Eukaryotic small subunit ribosomal RNA
Source: Rfam by way of RNAcentral
GGCCUUAUCAACUUUUGAUGGUAGGAUAGUGGCCUACCAUGGUGGUAACGGGUGACGGAGAAUUAGGGUUCAAUUCUGGAGAGGGAGCCUGAGAAACGACUACCACAUCCAAGGAAGGCAGCAUGCGCGCAAAUUACCCAAUCCUGACACGGGGAGGUAGUGACAAUAAAUAACAAUACCGGGCUCUUUGAGUCUGGUAAUUGGAAUGAGUACAAUCUAAAUCUCUUAACGAGGAUCCAUUGGAGGGCAAGUCUUGUGCCAGCAGCCGCGGUAAUUCCAGCUCCAAUAGCGUAUAUUUAAGUUGUUGCAGUUAAAAAGCUCGUAGUUGAACCUUGGGAUGGGUCGCCCGGUCCGCCUUUGGUGAGCACCGGUCGGCUUGUCUCUUCUGUUGGCGAUAUGCUCCUGGCCUUAACUGGCCGGGUCGUGCCUCCGGCGCUGUUACUUCGUAUCAGCGAUAUUCCGCCGAGAAGGCCGAAGAACUGUCCAGAAGCUAGAGGAGGUUCUGUCCGAGUCCAGAUCAGUC